GUAGUAGGUGAGCAAGCAGGCAGAAAUAUUUGAGACAGAACAUGAAUGCUCAUGUACUGUAAGGUGUUGGAGCAUUCAAAGCUUACACCAAUAAAAAGAUGGCAAAGACAGACAUACUCAGGGCGAUAUGCGGUAAAGGAGGCAUGAUUUUGUAUGAAGAUCUUGAGGACACGGGGCUGGAACCCCUGCAGGAGCUCAAAAGGAUCAUCUCAGAGAACCCUGACACUUUUAAAGAGGUCUGUCUUGGCGGGCGAAUGUUUGUGACGGCCAGAAGCAACAUUUCUCUCUGCGAAACGCCAGACUGCUUGGGUUGUAAACGCUUGCACAUGUGUAAAGGUUACAUGUUAGGAUCCUGUAAUGAUACUGGAUGCCCUUUUUCUCAUGAUUUACACUCACCACAUAAUAUGUGGGUCCUGAAACAGUUUGGCUUAAAAGGAUUGAAGGAAAACGAGAUAUCUGUACUGCUAUUCCAAGAUGAGCCACCACCUCAACCACCUCUUAAUUUAUCACCUAAACCACAUCCUCACCAGGACCCUCCUCAACCAGCUCCUCGUCUGCAGAUGCCCACACUCAGCAAUUCAGCAGCCAAUGCUUCUGUUUUUCAGGCGAACCAAAACAGUUCAGGGAGUGAUGGCAUUUGUCAAAUGCAUCUUAUUCAUCGCUGCAGUGUGGACGGUCAGUGUGAUAAGGUCCACAGCAGCAUGCCCUACCAGUGGCAGAGAAGGGUGGGUAAACAAUGGAGAGCUUUUCCAAACAAUGAAGAAAUAGAGAAAGACUACUGCAACCCUGUCAAGACAAAGCAUGACGGCACCCCACCUGUGGACUUUGACCUGAUGCGUUGUGGGUCAUCUGAGGUGCGCCGCCUGUCCGUAACAUCACCAGAGUUUCACACUGUCUCGCUGCUCGUCACAACGUGGGCCUGGUACUGGGAGUUCGCAGAGGACCAGUGGAUAGAGUAUGCUUCACCUGAGGGCAAAGCAGACAAUUUGAAUAUAACAGGUGAGAAGCUGGAACGAAAAUAUCAAGAAGGAGAGCCAUUCGUUCAGUUUGCUCGUGGGGAGAACAGGUACAUCCUCAGUUUUAAGGAUAUGAUUCAAACCAAUCAGAUCACAGAAAUGAAAAGGCUAGUUAGAAGACGUCCAGUGUUGAUCUCACCGGCAGAAGUACAAAAAGUCUGUGAAAAAUAUGCCAAAAGGAUACAUUCAAACUUUCUUAGUUCAGUCCCACAGCACUGGAAUUACUCCCUGCUGCCUGGGACAGGAUAUGAGAGAAUCAAGUUAGAGACUUCAUCCCAAGAUUACAGGCGCAUCGUCAGUCAGUUCAACCAAACCAUGAUGAGGUGUGACAUCCUAAGUAUUGAGAGAAUACAAAACCUGAAGCUCUGGAGGUUUUUCAUGUUACAGAAGAAUCAAAUUAAGAAUGACACUGGGAAGAAUGUGCGUGUGGAACAACUAUUUCAUGGCACUGAAUCAGAGUACAUUGAUGCCGUCUGUCAUGGAAACACUGAUCGCAGUUUUAACACCUUAACAGACACUCGCUUUGGGAGAGGAUGCUACUUUUCAAAAGAUGCCUCAUAUGCCAAUGAGUACACAGACAAACAAGGAGUGAGAUUUCUGUUUAUGUGCCAAGUGACGGUAGGAGACUAUGCCUUGGGACAACCAGAUUAUUACAGGCCUCCCUUCAAGGAUGAAAAGAAAACAGUGUCCUACGACAGCUGUGUGGAUGAUCUUGCACGGCCAAGUGUUUAUGUUGUCUUUGAGAAGAACCAGACUUAUCCUGAAUUCCUAAUUAAGUACAGAACUGAGGAUGACCAGACUUAUAGAGAGGAACCACAUGUUCAGGUAGAAUCAUUCUAUGAAACCAUCGAUAUCCAACCUAAUGAACAAUCACAAUCACAAUCAUUCUAUGAACCCAUCGAUAUCCAACCUCAGCCAGUGGAACAUCAGACUCCUCCCCCUAAGCCCAGAUGUUGUGAAGAUGUCUAUUGUAAUUGUGAAGUUCUUUUGGACUGCUGCUCCCAGCUGUAUAAAAUAGUGUUAAGGUUGGAAAGGAAAGAUGCAUGAUGGUCAUUAUGGUAUCCAUUUGGGGUGCAAUUCAUGAAGGUUCAGUGGACUGCACUCUUGAAGUUUAAGACAGGUUAUGUGAUGAGGAUGACUGUAAUUGUUAACAGAAGUUACAAUUCAUGUAAUUGUUAACAGAAGUUACAAUUCAUGUUGUUGUUAAGACUAACCAGGCCAGCAAACUAAUUUACUAAGAUUGUGCAAUGUGCAGUCUAAACAUAACCUGAUAAGGAAAAGUGUAUGCUCUCCUUGAAUACUUACAAUACAUUCUAUAUAAUAACUUUAAUGUCUAUACAUGAAUAUCUAUUCAGGAAAAAUGUUUUACUGUAUUUAUAUUUAUAUGAGGCUUUAGUAUUUUCAUUUAAUUACAGUAUUUAUUUUUUAUUGUUUUCUGACAUGAUUAUUGUUUGUAUUUUAAAAAAAUGUAAUGACAUGCCCAUACAUUAUGUUGUAUGUUUUAUGUACUUUUAUCUGCACUAUGUUGUCUUGUCUUCAUGUUAAAAACUUCUUCGGUAUUGUUUAUGUGCAUCAUUUUCUUCACAGUGCAAUUAUUUUCCACAUUGUUCUAUCUUUAUUUAUAUCAGUACUAGUAGCAGAUCUUUUUAUUAGUGUGCAUGCGUGUGUGUGUGUGUACUUUGCACUUUCCCUAUGACUUUUCCAAGACACAGACAACAGACAGGUAACAGACAGUGCAGCAUCUUUUAGCAACACAAAAGAGACACGGACCAACAGGUAUUUUCCUUGCUGAUUAAACUGAUUUGAAUUUGUAUAGUCUGCGUCAUGGGCAUGUCAUUGGACUACGGACUUUCUACAGGAAAGGGUAAGGUUUUUACGGGCAUUGCAAUACUGAUAAUGAUAACAGAGAUAUUUGUAAGCGUGCAAUACCUUUUCUUCCGGGACUGUUGACUGCUUUCCUGUUAGAGAAACAAAAACUAGACAAACCAGUCAGGGUUAUACUCAAAGUAACUCAACACUCAGUACAGUAGCUGUGUUCAAAUGCAAACUGGAAAAUACAAUGGCAGUGGGUACCGGUAAGUAGGAAUUUAACAAUUUCCAAUAUGUUAGUUUACAUAAAAGAUUAAUGAAAAUGUAGGAAAUAGGCUAGAUACUUUUAUCUGCCCCUUCACGGGCAUUGAUUCCGCUGUCUAAGUAGCGAUUGCUAUCUACCUUAAAAUACCAUUCCUAUAUCAUAGAUAUUGUUCUCCUACAGUAAAUCAUUGUUCUUUCAUGUGUUUUAAUCAGACAUUCAGGUUCUGUAAAGUACUUUGUGGUAUCAAGCUUUUUGAGAGUUAUAUAACUACAAUUAUUACCACAUUUUGUGAUUUUAGAUGGACCUUCUCAUCUGAUGCUUUUUUUUUUAAGAAAUUGUAUUUUUGAAAUUGAUAACAGAAAUGUUCCUAUGAUGUUAGUACACAUGUUUAAACUUUCCCCAAUGACCUAAUAUGAUAAUUGGUCUGUGUGAGGCUAAGCUGAUGGACAUGAAUCUUUCAACAGGUGAUGAAAUCUGUUGCUUGCAUCUUAUUGGUCGCUGCAAUGAAUGUGAUGCGGUAUGUGAUAAAGUUCAUAGCCGCACACCUUACCUGUGGCAGAUCUGGAA
RNA transcript from Alosa sapidissima (American shad), 3657 nucleotides. It is a transcript of the gene named zinc finger CCCH-type antiviral protein 1-like, with no coding region annotated. The transcript has 13 exons. The record is from RefSeq and is a predicted model, not a curated record. Lineage: Eukaryota; Metazoa; Chordata; Actinopteri; Clupeiformes; Clupeidae.